Long non-coding RNA from Microplitis mediator, 3415 nucleotides. RefSeq lists it as uncharacterized. The record is from RefSeq and is a predicted model, not a curated record. NCBI's taxonomy places the organism in Eukaryota, Metazoa, Arthropoda, Insecta, Hymenoptera, Braconidae. The transcript is spliced from 4 exons.
GCGACAGCAGCACCAGUAGUACAUUGAAGAACAAUUCUAAAUUUAAGAUCAGUAAGGUUGCUCAGUUAGCACAUUCUGUGAAACCAGGACAGAAGUUUAUUCCUCUAAACACAAAUGAGAAACCGAUUAAAUUAAUUAGCGUACACCCCUCAUUAGGAAAUCAUCCAGGAUCAUCGCGAGCGAUUAGCGUUCCUCAAAAAUCUACAGAGCCUCUACCUAAUUAUGACGAACUUUCACAGAAACCAGAAAAACCUUUGCAGAAUCCUAAAGAUGGUAUUCAGUCAAAUGAUGGGGAUACUGUUAAUCCAAAAAAUCCACAGCAAGUUGUUCUUACUUCAGAUCAACACCCGGUAAAAAAAGUCCUUCUUGACGUUUUUAAUAUCACGUAAAACAAUACUUUGUUAUUGCAAGAACUAUCAAAACAAAUAAAUGAGCAAGGCGAGCAACUAUCUAAACUGUCGGAAGUAGUUAAUCAGCGUUGAAAUCAAAGGAUUGCCUCGUCAAUAGCCAAACCUGAUUUUAUACCGUUCUGUACUGUGGCGGGAGUUAAUGAAUAUAAUAAUGCUUCAGAAAAAGAUAGAACUCAAUUAAGAAAUUACAUUAGUGCUUUCAGAGGAGGAAGAUCUGUCAUGGAUAACGUUCGUUAUAUUUUGAAAAACAAUUUACUCAUUAUGGAGGAGUUGUUAGUCACAUACAAUUACUUUGAACCAAGUAAAAGGAAACCUAACACUUUGGCUGGUUCCACGCUCAAUCGUGAUUUUCUCUCGGCUUUAAGAGUGAUGUACCCUACUUUGAGUGUGCAACAAUAUCAUGAAGCCUUAAAAAAUGCACUGAAGGCAGCAGAUUCUCGAAAGAGAGUAAAAAGUAAAUCUACCUCAGAACCAUCGAGAAAGAGAAAGAAGAGCACGGAAUUUACUGAAGAUUUUUAUUCAAAUUCUGCAGAAAAUCAGCCUCCAGUGGUUUAGCAUUUCUUUAAUUAAUAUUUUUAAAACAAGUGUUCUUUUUAUUUAAAAUAUAUGGGGCAUUCCAUGCCAAAUCACCGAGGUUUCGGCCCGACCCCCUUCGAUUUCGCUGAAAAUUUUUUAUCAUUUUCUAUCCUACCGAAAACAUUUUCCUGAAUUUUUUCAGAUUUCUUUACCCAACCCAAAAAAAGUUACGAAUUUUUGAAAAAAAACGCUCUUUUUUUUCAAAUUGCUGUAACUUUGACACAAAUUGACCUUUUGGCACUUUUUUUUUUUGAAAAAUUUUGUUUUCAAUUGUAGUUUUCAGAAAAAAAUACAAAAAAUUUUUCGGAAGUCACGAUAUAUAAAAUAUUUCAGUUUUUUCAAUAACACCGUAAUUUUCUCGAAGUCGGAAACCUUCGAUUCUAAAUUUUUUUGUCUCAAAAAAAACUUCAACCAAGACAGUAUUUAACCCCGCCAUUCCCAUUUUGUGCCGACUUUCCUUUAUAUUUUUUUUUUUUCGAUUGAAAUUAAAAAAAUUUCUAAAUUUGGCUUAUUUUUAUGACUUUGCGCUGAAGUUUCUUUGGAUUGUUUUUAAAAGCUCAGAAGUUGAAUAAAAUUGGACCAAAACAACCGUAAAUUGUAUUAGGGGCAAGGAUUGAUUUUUUCGGAAGAAAAUUCCCAAUUUUUAAAUACAGUGAAACCUAAACCUACAAUUUAACCUUCUCACUAAGACAAUUUAUAGAUAAAUUCAGAAAAAUAUCGAUAGCCCGAACUGAGAAUCGAACCUAGACCAUGUCGGUAUCGCGCCGAGUGCUCUACCAGUUGAGAUAUCCGGUACUAUAUCGAAGGGGGUCGGGCCGAAACCUCGGUGAUUUCCCAGCAAACGGGAUCGGAUUGAGUCGGAUUCAACAUCCUAUCCGCUUCAACACGAUUCAAUGCAGUUUUUGAAAUCUCCGUUUUUCAAUCCGUUUUAAUACGAUCAGACCCGACACGUUAGUAUUGGAUAACUACAGAAAAUUUUGUUACCAACUUCUAAAACUUCUAAAAAUUUAUUAAUAAUGAGUUGAUUUCUUUUUUUAUUCACUUUCAGAAUUUUAUUUUCUUAUAAAUUUUUUGAGAAGUUUUUAGAGAAAUUUUAAAAUUAAAUUAUUUUUAGCUUCUGCAAUAGUUUAUAAUAUGUUCUUUUUGAUAAACUUAUUUGAUUUAAACUUUUGUCUCUGACGUUAUUAGAAAAAUAAAAUUAUGUUUAUCAAUUUACCACGGCCCAACCUUAAAGACAUAAAUUUCUUAAUAUAAAUAAAAUAUCAAAAAGGAAAAUUUCACUUGCAUGCGUUUGGCUUAUAGUCCAGUCGAUGCGCACGAAAAAAUGGUCAAAGAUCAUUUUUUCGGUGGGUAAAGAUCGAUUUUGAAAAAUUUUUUCUUUAAAAUACUAAAAAAAAUAUAAGGAAAAAAGUUACGAUAAAUUUGGAGGUGGAUCAUUUUUUUUUUAUAAUAAAAUUAGAUGUAAAAUGAAAUAUCUCUAAAAGUAUUGAGAAGUUAUCGAGACAAAUUAGUAUCAUUGUUUUUGGGAUUUAAUAACGAACAAACUGAAUUCUGAACGAAGUCUCUACGACGAAUAGUUGAUAAGACAAAAAUUAUUGAAGCGCGAAAAACGAAAAAGCGCGUCAUUUCGUCCGCGCGCGGAUAAACAAAAGAGUGUAACUCGGCAGCAAAUCGAUAUUUUCACAAUUUUUUUUUUAUUCUCUUAGUAAAUCAUACAUCAACCAUAAAAAAAUUUGGUAACUUCCGAACAAAUUUUUUCGAAUUUUAAAUUUAAAAAAAGUAAAAAUCACUUUCUUAAAUAAAAAAUAGAAAAAAUGAAAAAUUAAUAAAAUGACCUAAUGGAUAAUUUUGUUUGAACCAUUGCCCAAACAACUACGGGUAAUGACAGUUAAAAAAAAAUUUUUUUCCAUAAAAAAACCCGUUUUGAAAAUUUUUGAAAUUUAUCGACAAUCAAAAAAAAAAAAAAAAUUUUUUUUGAUACGACAGAAAUUCAUCUCGCGAAAUUCUGAAUCAAAUGGUAUAUACGAAUUUUUGUCGAUUUUUUGAAAUUUUUCCUCUAUAAUUUUCAAUCUAAGGACUUGAAAAAAUUUCUUUAUAAAAAAAAAAUGAUCCACCGCCAAAUUUAUGGUAACUUUUUUCCUUAUAUUUUUUCUAGUAUUUUAAAGAAAAAAUUUUUCAAAAUCGAUCUUUACCCGCCGAAAAAAUGAUCUUUGACCAUUUUUUCGUGCGCAUCGACUAGACUACCGACUUGGUCGGUAAGUUGAACUCUGCCUCGAAUUUAUUCUAUCCGAUUCAAUGCGUUGUAACACGAAACACUGUUUUCAAAAAUCGCAUUGGAUCGGGUUGGUUCGUAUUGGACUUCAAUCCGACUUCGUUUGCUGGGUUGGCAUGGAAUGCCCCAUAUAUUAUUGUAAGAAAGAUAUAUAAAU